Molecule: ribosomal RNA, 1469 nt
Filed under: uncultured bacterium
Lineage: Bacteria
Description: 16S ribosomal RNA
Rfam family: Bacterial small subunit ribosomal RNA
Source: RNAcentral
AGAGUUUGAUCCUGGCUCAGAUUGAACGCUGGCGGUAUGCUUAACACAUGCAAGUCGAACGGUAGGUACUUCGGUACUGAGAGUGGCGGACGGGUGAGUAACGCGUAGGAAUCUGCCUGUUAGUGGGGGACAACUUGGGGAAACUCAAGCUAAUACCGCAUACGCCCUACGGGGGAAAGCGGGGGACCUUCGGGCCUCGCGCUAACAGAUGAGCCUGCGUUGGAUUAGCUAGUUGGUGGGGUAAAGGCCUACCAAGGCGACGAUCCAUAGCUGGUCUGAGAGGACGAUCAGCCACACUGGGACUGAGACACGGCCCAGACUCCUACGGGAGGCAGCAGUGGGGAAUAUUGGACAAUGGGCGCAAGCCUGAUCCAGCAAUACCGCGUGUGUGAAGAAGGCCUUCGGGUUGUAAAGCACUUUCAAUAGGGAGGAAUACCUUAAGGCUAAUACCCUUAAGACUGACAUUACCUAUACAAGAAGCACCGGCUAACUCCGUGCCAGCAGUCGCGGUAAUACGUAGGAUGCAAGCGUUAUCCGGAUUCACUGGGCGUAAAGUGUCGUGCAGGUGGUUUAUCGCAUCGUGCUUGAAAGCCCGGGGCUCAACCCCGGUGUUGGGUACGAGAUGGAUAGACUUGAGGGAGGUAGAGGAACGGGGAACUGACGGUGAAGCAGUGAAAUGCGUUGAUAUCGUCAGGAACACCAAAGGCGAAGGCACCGUUCUGGGCCUCUCCUGACACUCAGACACGAAAGCUAGGGGAGCGAAGCAGAUUAGAGACCUGCGUAGUCCUAGCCCUAAACGCAUGCCUGCUAGUUGCCCCGCGCAAGUGGGGUGACGUAAGCUAACGCGUUAAGCAGGCCGCCUGGGGAGUACGAUCGCAAGAUUAAAACUCAAAGGAAUUGACGGGGACCCGCACAACCGGUGGAGCGUGUGGUUCAAUUCGAGACAAAGCGAAGCACCUAACCAGGUCUUGACAUGGUACCGUUUUAUUCCGCUAGAAAUAGUGGAAGAUCCGCAAGGAUGGUAUCACAGGUGCUGCAUGGCUGUCGUCAGCUCGUGCCGUGGGGUGUUCCCUUAAGUGGGCUAACGAGCGCAACCCCUGUCCAAUGUUACAAGUGUCAUUGGAGACUGCUUGUGUCAAACACAGGAGGAAGGAAGGGACGACGUCAAGUCAGCACGGCCCUUAUGACCUGGGUCACACACACCCUACAAUGGCGAAUAACAACGGGAUGCUAAGCGGUAACGCUACGCAAAUCCAUUUAAAUUUCGCCUCAGUUCAGAUUGAGGUCUGCAACCCGACCUCAUGAAGUCGGAAUCGGUAGUAAUCGCGGAUCAGCAGGUCGCGGUGAAUACGUUCUCGGGUCUUGUACACACCGCCCGUCAAGCCAACAAAGUUGGGGGCGGCCGAAGAGCCCCGCAAGGGGAGCUAAGCCGAACUCAGCGAUGGGGACUAAGUCGUAACAAGGUAACC